Molecule: ribosomal RNA, 450 nt
Filed under: uncultured bacterium
Lineage: Bacteria
Description: partial 16S ribosomal RNA
Rfam family: Bacterial small subunit ribosomal RNA
Source: RNAcentral
GUGGGGAAUAUUGGACAAUGGGCGAAAGCCUGAUCCAGCCAUGCCGCGUGUGUGAAGAAGGUCUUCGGAUUGUAAAGCACUUUAAGUUGGGAGGAAGGGCAGUAAGUUAAUACCUUGCUGUUUUGACGUUACCGACAGAAUAAGCACCGGCUAACUCUGUGCCAGCAGCCGCGGUAAUACGAAGGGUGCAAGCGUUAAUCGGAAUUACUGGGCGUAAAGCGCGCGUAGGUGGUUUUGUAAGUUGGAGGUGAAAUCCCCGGGCUCAACCUGGGAACUGCCUCCAAAACUGCAUGACUAGAGUACGGUAGAGGGUAGUGGAAUUUCCUGUGUAGCGGUGAAAUGCGUAGAUAUAGGAAGGAACACCAGUGGCGAAGGCGACUACCUGGACUGAUACUGACACUGAGGUGCGAAAGCGUGGGGAGCAAACAGGAUUAGAAACCCCGGUAGUCC